Molecule: ribosomal RNA, 497 nt
Filed under: uncultured bacterium
Lineage: Bacteria
Description: partial 16S ribosomal RNA
Rfam family: Bacterial small subunit ribosomal RNA
Source: RNAcentral
GAUGAACGCUGGCGGCGUGCCUAAUACAUGCAAGUCGAGCGAACAGGCGAGGAGCUUGCUCCUCUGACGUUAGCGGCGGACGGGUGAGUAACACGUGGAUAACCUACCUAUAAGACUGGGAUAACUUCGGGAAACCGGAGCUAAUACCGGAUAAUAUAUUGAACCGCAUGGUUCAAUAGUGAAAGACGGUUUUGCUGUCACUUAUAGAUGGAUCCGCGCCGCAUUAGCUAGUUGGUAAGGUAACGGCUUACCAAGGCAACGAUGCGUAGCCGACCUGAGAGGGUGAUCGGCCACACUGGAACUGAGACACGGUCCAGACUCCUACGGGAGGCAGCAGUAGGGAAUCUUCCGCAAUGGGCGAAAGCUUGACGGAGCAACGCCGCGUGAGUGAUGAAGGUCUUCGGAUCGUAAAACUCUGUUAUUAGGGAAGAACAAAUGUGUAAGUAACUAUGCACGUCUUGACGGUACCUAAUCAGAAAGCCACGGCUAACUACGUG